GAUGAACGCUGGCGGCGUGCUUAACACAUGCAAGUCGAACGGAAAGGCCCAAGCUUGCUUGGGUACUCGAGUGGCGAACGGGUGAGUAACACGUGGGUGAUCUGCCCUGCACUUCGGGAUAAGCCUGGGAAACUGGGUCUAAUACCGGAUAGGACCACAUUUUGGAUGGUGUGGUGGAAAGUUUUUCGGUGUGGGAUGAGCUCGCGGCCUAUUAGCUUGUUGGGGGGGUAAUGGCCUACCAAGGCGUCGGCGGGUAGCCGGCCUGAGAGGGUGUACGGCCACAUUGGGACUGAGAUACGGCCCAGACUCCUACGGGAGGCAGCAGUGGGGAAUAUUGCACAAUGGGCGCAAGCCUGAUGCAGCGACGCCGCGUGGGGGAUGACGGCCUUCGGGUUGUAAACUCCUUUCGCUAGGGACGAAGCGUUAUGUGACGGUACCUGGAGAAGAAGCACCGGCUAACUACGUG
RNAcentral lists this ribosomal RNA (466 nucleotides) under uncultured bacterium. RNAcentral's name for it is "partial 16S ribosomal RNA". It matches the Rfam family "Bacterial small subunit ribosomal RNA", at positions 28 to 507 of the family's 1533-position model. The record is from RNAcentral.